This 486-nucleotide ribosomal RNA is filed under the name uncultured bacterium. RNAcentral describes it as "partial 16S ribosomal RNA". It matches the Rfam family "Bacterial small subunit ribosomal RNA", at positions 30 to 507 of the family's 1533-position model. The record is from RNAcentral.
AUUGAACGCUGGCGGCAUGCCUUACACAUGCAAGUCGAACGGCAGCACGGGUGCUUGCACCUGGUGGCGAGUGGCGAACGGGUGAGUAAUACAUCGGAACAUGUUCUGUAGUGGGGGAUAGCCCGGCGAAAGCCGGAUUAAUACCGCAUACGAUCUACGGAUGACAGCGGGGGACCUUCGGGCCUCGCGCUAUAGGGUUGGCCGAUGGCUGAUUAGCUAGUUGGUGGGGUAAAGGCCUACCAAGGCGACGAUCAGUAGCUGGUCUGAGAGGACGACCAGCCACACUGGGACUGAGACACGGCCCAGACUCCUACGGGAGGCAGCAGUGGGGAAUUUUGGACAAUGGGCGAAAGCCUGAUCCAGCAAUGCCGCGUGUGUGAAGAAGGCCUUCGGGUUGUAAAGCACUUUUGUCCGGAAAGAAAUCCUUGGCCCUAAUACGGUCGGGGGAUGACGGUACCGGAAGAAUAAGCACCGGCUAACUACGUG